RNAcentral lists this ribosomal RNA (253 nucleotides) under uncultured bacterium. RNAcentral's name for it is "partial 16S ribosomal RNA". It matches the Rfam family "Bacterial small subunit ribosomal RNA", at positions 524 to 776 of the family's 1533-position model. The record is from RNAcentral.
UACGGGGGGGGUAAGCGUUGUUCGGAAUUACUGGGCGUAAAGGGCUCGUAGGCGGCCAACUAAGUCAGACGUGAAAUCCCUCAGCUUAACUGGGGAACUGCGUCUGAUACUGGAUGGCUUGGAUUCGGGAGAGGAAUGCGGAAUUCCAGGUGUAGCGGUGAAAUGCGUAGAUAUCUGGAGGAACACCGGUGGCGAAGGCGGCAUUCUGGACGGCAACUGACGCUGAGGCACGAAAGCGUGGGGAGCAAGCAGG